ACCUCGGUGGUUUGAUGGCUUAGGACGCUAGUACGGAAUACAAGAGAUCCGGGUUCAAGUCCCGACCGAGGUA
This 73-nucleotide transfer RNA is filed under the name Trachymyrmex cornetzi. It matches the Rfam family "tRNA". From Rfam's summary of the family: Transfer RNA (tRNA) molecules are approximately 80 nucleotides in length. The record is from Rfam by way of RNAcentral. Lineage: Eukaryota; Metazoa; Arthropoda; Insecta; Hymenoptera; Formicidae.